RNAcentral lists this long non-coding RNA (721 nucleotides) under Pan troglodytes (chimpanzee). RNAcentral's name for it is "long non-coding RNA NONPTRT007456". The record is from RNAcentral. Lineage: Eukaryota; Metazoa; Chordata; Mammalia; Primates; Hominidae.
CAGUUACCAAGGGGAACUCAAUGAAUAAAAAAGAUCGAUUCCUCUCCUAACAUCUUCUAACUAUUAGAUAAGAAUCCUACCACCAGAAACAAUUGCAAUGUAUAAAAUAAUUUAACAUAUAGUUUUCUAUCCAAUGUUAUCAUUCCCAUGUUUGGAAUGAGACCCUCAGUGGCCAAGAGUGGAUUUAGUACUGACUCUCUAACCUAGAGGCCCCCACCACUGAUUCAUCCUGUUAGCUAUCUCCAUGCUUUACAACAGUGGGUCUCAACCACGGUGUCUCAGACGUUUGAUCAAUUCCAGUAUCUUACUGCUUGUUAGAUCGGGAUGAACAGUGGUCAGACAUCUCCUUUUAGAUCUGUUACAAACUGAUGGCUUGCUGGGCACUGUUAGACAAGUCAUUUGAUUUUGCUUUAAUUUCAUUUGAACAAGAGAUAAACUAUUUACUGUGACUGAUUCCAGAAUGUUCCCUAAUCAAAAAUAACUUGCAACACUUUGUAAUUUGUAAAGGGCUUUAGCAAGUAAGUGAGGCUCCUCUGGAUUGCUUUCUGGAUUUUUGGAAGGGACACAAUCUGAUCCACGUGAUUCUCUUACCUGCCUGCAAAAAGGAAAAUAAUAAUAAUAAUAAUAAAGAAUGUUCCAAUAUUAGAGAUAGAAUGCAGGUACCUCUACCUCCCAGUUCUUGCCCUUUGGAAAAAGGGCAAGAAAUAUGCCAAUUCCACUC